RNAcentral lists this ribosomal RNA (199 nucleotides) under uncultured bacterium. RNAcentral's name for it is "partial 16S ribosomal RNA". It matches the Rfam family "Bacterial small subunit ribosomal RNA", at positions 328 to 539 of the family's 1533-position model. The record is from RNAcentral.
ACGCUCGACACCUACGGGAGGCGGCAGUGGGGAAUAUUGCACAAUGGGGGAAACCCUGAUGCAGCGACGCCGCGUGAGCGAAGAAGUAUUUCGGUAUGUAAAGCUCUAUCAGCAGGGAAGAAACUGACGGUACCUGACUAAGAAGCACCGGCUAAAUACGUGCCAGCAGCCGACGGUAAUCUGAGCGGGCUGGCAAGGC